AGUGAACGCUGGCGGUAGGCCUAACACAUGCAAGUCGAACGGCAGCACAGUAAGAGCUUGCUCUUACGGGUGGCGAGUGGCGGACGGGUGAGGAAUACAUCGGAAUCUACUUUUUCGUGGGGGAUAACGUAGGGAAACUUACGCUAAUACCGCAUAUGACCUACGGGUGAAAGCAGGGGAUCUUCGGACCUUGCGCGAUUGAAUGAGCCGAUGUCGUAUUAGCUAGUUGGCGGGGUAAAGGCCCACCAAGGCGACGAUCCGUAGCUGGUCUGAGAGGAUGAUCGGCCACACUGGAACUGAGACACGGUCCAGACUCCUACGGGAGGCAGCAGUGGGGAAUAUUGGACAAUGGGCGAAAGCCUGAUCCAGCCAUACCGCGUGAGUGAAGAAGGCCUUCGGGUUGUAAAGCCCUUUUGUUGGGAAAGAAAAGCAGCAGGUUAAUACCCCGCUGUUCUGACGGUACCCAAAGAAUAAGCUCCGGCUAACUUCGUG
This 492-nucleotide ribosomal RNA is filed under the name uncultured bacterium. RNAcentral describes it as "partial 16S ribosomal RNA". It matches the Rfam family "Bacterial small subunit ribosomal RNA", at positions 29 to 507 of the family's 1533-position model. The record is from RNAcentral.